Molecule: ribosomal RNA, 450 nt
Filed under: uncultured Glomeromycotina
Lineage: Eukaryota; Fungi; Glomeromycota
Description: SSU rRNA
Rfam family: Eukaryotic small subunit ribosomal RNA
Source: RNAcentral
AGCAGCCGCGGUGAUUCCAGCUCCAAUAGCGUAUAUUAAAGUUGUUGCAGUUAAAAAGCUCGUAGUUGAAUUUCGGGAUCAAUAUAUCGGUCGUGCCUCCGGUAUGCACUGGUAUUAUUGAUUUCUACCUUCUGACGAACUGUGAUGUCAUUAAUUUGGUGUCAUGGGGAAUCAGGACUGUUACUUUGAAAAAUUAGAGUGUUUAAAGCAGGCACACGCUUGAAUACAUUAGCAUGGAAUAAUGAAAUAGGACGUUUGACCCUAUUUUGUUGGUUUCUAGGAUCGACGUAAUGAUUAAUAGGGAUAGUUGGGGGCAUUAGUAUUCAAUUGUCAGAGGUGAAAUUCUUGGAUUUAUUGAAGACUAACUACUGCGAAAGCAUUUGCCAAGGAUGUUUUCAUUAAUCAAGAACGAAAGUUAGGGGAUCGAAGACGAUCAGAUACCGUCGUAGU